RNAcentral lists this ribosomal RNA (350 nucleotides) under uncultured bacterium. RNAcentral's name for it is "bacterial SSU rRNA". It matches the Rfam family "Bacterial small subunit ribosomal RNA", at positions 355 to 722 of the family's 1533-position model. The record is from RNAcentral.
UGGGGAAUAUUGCACAAUGGGCGAAAGCCUGAUGCAGCAAUGCCGCGUGUGUGAAGAAGGCCUGCGGGUUGUAAAGCACUUUCAGCUGGGAAGAUUAUGACGGUACCAGCAGAAGAAGCACCGGCUAACUCCGUGCCAGCAGCCGCGGUAAUACGGAGGGUGCAAGCGUUAAUCGGAAUUACUGGGCGUAAAGCGCGCGUAGGCGGCCUAUUAAGUCAGAUGUGAAAUCCCCGGGCUUAACCUGGGAACUGCAUCUGAUACUGGUAGGCUUGAGUUUGGUAGAGGGUAGUGGAAUUUCAGGUGUAGCGGUGAAAUGCGUAGAUAUCUGAAAGAACACCAGUGGCGAAGGC